This 200-nucleotide long non-coding RNA is filed under the name Hordeum vulgare. RNAcentral's name for it is "long non-coding RNA (HVUL_LNC021569)". The record is from RNAcentral. Lineage: Eukaryota; Viridiplantae; Streptophyta; Magnoliopsida; Poales; Poaceae.
GUAGUUGUAGUUGUUGUUGUUGUUGUUGUUGUUGCUAUUGUAGUUGUUGUUGUCGUCUUCUUCUUCUUCUUCUUCUUCUUCUUCUUCUUCGUUGUUUUUGUUGUUGUUAUUGUUGUUGUUGUUGUUGUUGUUGUUGUCGUUGUUGUCGUCGCCAUUGUCGUUAUUGUCGUUAUUCUCGUUAAUGCCGUUGUUGUUGUUAU